AGCCAUGCAUGUCUAAGUAUAAGCAAUCUAUACCGUGAAACUGCGAAUGGCUCAUUAAAUCAGUUAUCGUUUAUUUGAUAGUACCUUACUACUUGGAUAACCGUGGUAAUUCUAGAGCUAAUACAUGCUAAAAACCUCGACUUCGGGAGGGGUGUAUUUAUUAGAUAAAAAACCAAUGCCCUUCGGGGCUCCUUGGUGAUUCAUAAUAACUUAACGAAUCGCAUGGCCUUGUGCCGGCGAUGGUUCAUUCAAAUUUCUGCCCUAUCAACUUUCGAUGGUAGGAUAGUGGCCUACCAUGGUUUCAACGGGUAACGGGGAAUUAGGGUUCUAUUCCGGAGAGGGAGCCUGAGAAACGGCUACCACAUCCAAGGAAGGCAGCAGGCGCGCAAAUUACCCAAUCCCGACUCGGGGAGGUAGUGACAAUAAAUACUGAUACAGGGCUCUUUUGGGUCUUGUAAUUGGAAUGAGUACAAUUUAAAUCCCUUAACGAGGAACAAUUGGAGGGCAAGUCUGGUGCCAGCAGCCGCGGUAAUUCCAGCUCCAAUAGCGUAUAUUAAAGUUGUUGCAGUUAAAAAGCUCGUAGUUGAACCUUGGGCCUGGCUGGCCGGUCCGCCUCACCGCGUGCACUGGUCCGGCCGGGCCUUUCCUUCUGGGGAGCCGCAUGCCCUUUACUGGGUGUGUCGGGGAACCAGGACUUUUACUUUGAAAAAAUUAGAGUGUUCAAAGCAGGCCUAUGCUCGGAUACAUUAGCAUGGAAUAAUAAAACAGGACGAGCAGUUCUAUUUUGUUGGUUUCUAGGACCGCCGUAAUGAUUAAUAGGGAUAGUCGGGGGCAUCAAUAUUCAAUUGUCAGAGGUGAAAUUCUUGGAUUUAUUGAAGAUUAACUACUGCGAAAGCAUUUGCCAAGGAUGUUUUCAUUAAUCAGUGAACGAAAGUUAGGGGAUCGAAGACGAUCAGAUACCGUCGUAGUCUUAACCAUAAACUAUGCCGACUAGGGAUCGGGCGAUGUUAUUUUUUUGACUCGCUCGGCACCUUACGAGAAAUCAAAGUCUUUGGGUUCU
Molecule: ribosomal RNA, 1060 nt
Filed under: Chlorociboria spathulata
Lineage: Eukaryota; Fungi; Ascomycota; Leotiomycetes; Helotiales; Chlorociboriaceae
Description: SSU rRNA
Rfam family: Eukaryotic small subunit ribosomal RNA
Source: RNAcentral